RNAcentral lists this non-coding RNA (27 nucleotides) under Homo sapiens (human). Lineage: Eukaryota; Metazoa; Chordata; Mammalia; Primates; Hominidae. The record is from RNAcentral.
UACUGAACGCGAAUCUCCGGUGGAGGG